This 361-nucleotide unclassified non-coding RNA is filed under the name Hevea brasiliensis (rubber tree). Lineage: Eukaryota; Viridiplantae; Streptophyta; Magnoliopsida; Malpighiales; Euphorbiaceae. The record is from RNAcentral.
CUGGGGGCAGAUGGACUGCAUUAGCAGAAGGUAUAAACUUUGCCUGUUGCAGUGCAAUUCAAUUUCGACAUAUUUGUUGAACCCCGAAAAGGUGAAAGGCUUUCAUGUUAGCCAAAGCCCAAAACAUUAUGCUACCCAUUAUUAGUGCAAAAAGCAACACAUGCUAUAAAUGAAGGAACACAUGUUAUAUAUGAAGGAACUCAAAUCAGGUAAGACAAAGAAGGAAAAAUGCACAAAAAACUUUAUAUGAUCUUAACCGAAUGCUCUGGAAAAGUACAGGUCCAAACCUUGAUUGAUGCAUUUGCUGCAAUACUACAAAUUCCACCAAAUAUAUAGUUCCGCUUUACUCCUGCCACCAAAG